This 424-nucleotide ribosomal RNA is filed under the name uncultured bacterium. RNAcentral's name for it is "bacterial SSU rRNA". It matches the Rfam family "Bacterial small subunit ribosomal RNA", at positions 355 to 776 of the family's 1533-position model. The record is from RNAcentral.
UGAGGAAUAUUGGUCAAUGGACGGAAGUCUGAACCAGCCAUGCCGCGUGCAGGAAGAAUGCUCUAUGAGUUGUAAACUGCUUUUGUACUAGGGUAAACUCAGAUACGUGUAUCUGACUGAAAGUAUAGUACGAAUAAGGAUCGGCUAACUCCGUGCCAGCAGCCGCGGUAAUACGGAGGAUUCAAGCGUUAUCCGGAUUUAUUGGGUUUAAAGGGUGCGUAGGCGGUUUUGUAAGUUAGAGGUGAAAUUCCGGGGCUUAACUCCGGCACUGCCUCUAAUACUGCGAGGCUAGAGAGUAGAUGCGGUAGGCGGAAUGUGUGGUGUAGCGGUGAAAUGCUUAGAGAUCACACAGAACACCGAUUGCGAAAGCAGCUUACCAAUCUAUGUCUGACGUUGAGGCACGAAAGCGUGGGGAGCAAACAGG